Lineus longissimus is the source of this 6506-nucleotide long non-coding RNA. RefSeq lists it as uncharacterized. The record is from RefSeq and is a predicted model, not a curated record. The transcript is spliced from 7 exons. Lineage: Eukaryota; Metazoa; Nemertea; Pilidiophora; Heteronemertea; Lineidae.
UCCCCACUUGAAAAGUCCAAGUUUCAAAUUCGGGGAAUGGAUUUUCCACAUGUUAUUUCCAUGUUUUCAUCAUUCUGACGUGUAUAUUUGAAUGUGAACUUAAUAUGUAAAGUCAAGAACUUAGUGAGCCCCCCUUUAGGUCGGGGGAGCUCCCCCGAACCCCCCUACGAGCAUAUGUUAAGUGCAAGCUCUAACAACUACAGCUCUUACAAUGGGGGGACACCCCCCAAACCCCCCUCCGUCGACAUAGGUUUUUACCAGUGCGUUGGGGGGAAGCUCCCCCCAAACCCCCCCGGUGGACAGUCAACUAGCCCUUCUGUGUCAUACUGCUGGAGGGGGGGGUGCGAUGGGACCAUCCAUAUAGUUCCUUCCGACACAUUUUUGUUUUGGUAAUGUAAUACAUUGUGAUUGACCUUAUUCACGGGAAUCGGGCGUUUCCAGUGAUAUACGACACAAAUGGGUUGUCCUCAUGCAUUCACUUUCGAAACGCAUUUUAAAAUAGAUGUUACGUCCUGUUAAAGAGGUUGAAUAGCGCCUCCAGAAGCAAGCAACAGCGCCACCCGUAGCAGAAAUAAGAACUGCUUAGUGACGUCAUGGUUUCCAUAUACGGCAUCUCAUUUGCAUAUUUUUACAACCUUAUUUACUACGAGUUAUAAAUAUGCCAGUAGCACGUGGAUCAUGCCGGGCGGCGCUGUCAGGUGUUUCCACUAUGGGUUACAUAAUCGGCUACAAAGAGGCCAGUGUUCUAGUAAAUGAAGUUAGCAAUGAUAGCGAAAGAAUGUUAGUGUAUGUUACGCAGUCAAUAGCGAUAGUAGUGAGUUGGAGAGAGGAGAAAAUGGAAAAUGGAGAGAAUAGUAGUAUGGAUUUCGAGUCCCAAGAAGAAACUUUGCAAAGUUUUCAUCAAACUGAUAAUCAUAUUCCUUCCUUCUCUGUCUCCAACAAUUAAAAGUUGCUGCAGUCAACCUGAUGCGUUUAUCCGCGAGCGAAUCGACGAGACAAGCAUUUUUCAAGCAUCCGAAUGGUACCUUACAGAUCCGCAAGGGGCGCGUUACCGAAAAUGUUGCAAAAAUCAAUAACGUGAUCGUAAAUAUUGUCAUAUAUUUCAAAAUGAGAGUAUGUAAAUGAUACGCAGACGGUUAACCAAUGAAAGGCCAGUAUCUAUUGAACCUUACAAGUGAUUUGGGGGCCUUGAAACUCCUUAUAUUUAUCAAUGAAACCUUAUUCCCGCCUAAGGUUUUGACCGGGCCGUCCAAAACUCCCCAUUUUUUGGCGGGCCAUUCCCUUUAAUGGGGCACGUCAUCAUCGCGUACAUUUGGGAAAAACUCCCUAACGAGACCGGAGCAGACGGCUGAAAGUAGUUUAAUUAUUGGCCGCUAGGGUACAGAAUGUACGUCGCUCACCCGAAUUUUUCACGCAACUAUAGCUAAAUAGAGCUAGUUCUAGUUUGUGAUUCAAUUUGAUACUUCAGAUUUGGGCAGUAGACCAAUAUAACUUAGUCGUCAGUGUGGUUUUAAGCUGGAAAAACGUAUUUGUUUUUCUUAAAGUGCCUUUUUUGGACGGGUGUGUGCGAUUGUUUUGUUUUUAUGUCACGUGACCUCGAUCAUGUCGACACAAAAUUGAAAUAAACCACCCUUUUCUGUCAUUAUUUAGGACGGAUAUUUCUCUGAUAAAAAUAUUAAUAUAAUUGGCCAAUUUCUUAGGCAUAUGAUGUAGCGAAUUCCCAUGAAGAUUUAAAUUAAUUUAAAUUAAUUUCAAGCAAUGGGAUAGCAACCACCACCGGAAGAUCGCGGAGAAAUCGGUAAACUCAACGGAGUUAAUUCAGAAAAAUACCAAAAAAAAUUGUUUGUAGGAUAUACAAUAUUUACUCUCUUUAUUUCACUUCAUUUACAUUAUAUACUCCCGCACACACGUGUAUCUUAAGAGCCCCUCCUAAAGGGGGUCUUAUCAAGAACGAUGUCUUAGUAAGUACAGACCAUACAUAUAUGCCAAAGAAGGUCUGUCACACAAAAAUAAAUGUGUUACCAAUUUUUUCCAGAAUCCAGGUGAGGCAAUCCACUCCAAUGACGGUUGCAGCUAAGAUUGAAAUAUCGACAGAUUUCCCUUUAACACUGGAAAGUGACGGUGGCGCUCUCUAGGAUUCAAAUAUCACCAUAUCCCCCUUUAUAUCGACAGAUAUUCCCAUUUGGCAGAGUAGGCCUACCACAUCUGGUGGAAAUAUCGAAAAAUUCCCCCUUUAUACUGGCGGUUGAAAGAUCGACAGAUUUAACUUUAACAGUUAGUUGUGAAGAAAAAUCUUCAACUGUCAUUAGAUUGCCCCACCUGGAAAAAAUUGGCAUGUGGGUAGGCCCCCCUAUGUGGUAUGUGGUUUUAGAUACUGCCGUGUGGCAGAGGCAGAGGUGUGUUGUUCUCGGCGGCAUCAAUGACAAUGGAUAGGGCCUACACCCUAGUCCCUAUACGGGUAUACCGGUUAUCCUAAGAUACAGGUUUUUGAUAAUACUACAUCAUAUACAAUCGUUUGAAAUAUUGAGAGGCGGAGUAUAUUGAAAACCACCGAUUACGUCGGGAUGUAUACCGGUAUGCCAUCCUACUUAUGUAAUCCUUAAAGGGGGACUAUAGGCAGGAGCUAAAUGAGAAAAUCUCAUGUUUUAAUAGUAAGACAAUCCUGAGGAAAUCGGGGACCCUUCAGGCGGCAACUAUGUAGGCAAGAUAAAGUUAUAUACACAGAUGUCGCCAGGGGUCUUUCUCAUACCACAACCACCAAAUAUCGAGACGAUGAGUACAAUAGCCCCUGGCCGUUUCAUUUAUUACAUCAAUUCAAAAAAAUUGUGAAACGCUCAGCAGAAAAGCUGCAAGCUUUCUGCGAAGCGCUAUACUCUGGUUUAACAUGUGUGCGUAUCCAGUAAGUUCACCACUUUUUUCUACCAGUACCAGUUUUCAUUGCAAGAAACUGUUAUAGGAAAAACUAGCAACUGUUCUAAUUAACACUUUGUACGAUUUCUAUUAACCCAAUCCAUAAUAAUCAAAUAAAAAGUUUAUUCAUUCAUGGCUUAUGGUCAAUCCCAUUACCAAUCUGGCUUGGCCCAUUACAUCUGACACCUUUGUUUGGUUAUCUAAGGCAACAACAGACUAUGUCAAUCUUGAAAGAAAGUUUGGGCAUGUUACAUAAUACCACUACCUGUCACAUUUUAUACGUUCCAAUGCUUGGUUCAAGCAUGCUGUGCAGACAGAACAUUCGUUUUGGCAGGGUGUACAUGGUUCUUCCAAAAAGAACUAUCUUCAAGUUUUACUUUUUUCAACAUUCUGAAAUAGCAAAAUUAUUUGUGUUUAGCAUCAAUGUUCUUAAAGAUGACACAACCUUGUCUGCAAUUGCAUUCGAAGAUUCUAGUCUGAUUUCCAAGAAGAAGGCUUUCAGUUGUCCAGGCCAGGCCAGGUGACCAAUGACAAUGAUAGAUCGGGUUCGAUUCAAGCUAUACGCUUGGUGUAUUUGGUUAUCGUGACUGGCGACUUGAGUCUAACUCAUCUCAUGUCCAAAGCGCGGUGGCUGGGUCCCAGGCAUGCUUGCCACUUUGUUCCACGGUCCUCAUCUAAGUUUCGACGGUGAUGACAUGGACUUAGGUUCAAGGUACGUGUUCCCCUUGAGUCAUUGUGGUUGAUUGAUGGGGGCAAUGAAUUAUGUUGCGUGUCGCUAGUCAUUCAAUUGGUCCCCUUGUUUUAGAGUGUUGGCGGGAUAAGUCUUACGACUGUUAACAAUAGUAAGCAAUAGCUGGCCAGCGAUCCCCUACCUGAUCUCGAGGGGGAUGGAAUGACUGGGGUCCGAGGCCUGUUGUUCGCCUGCGGAAUUUCGUCGGACGAUAUGUCAGACGUGUCCGUGUGGAACUUGUGCUAAACCAGUUUAGUACUAAUGACAAGGACAUUGUGCUCUUUGGAUGACAACAUGGUUCUUGACCUCCUUGGGCUUCACAAUGCUAGAAUAUACACCCCCUGAAAUUGACAUGACGGCGAUGAAGAAGGAGAGCCGGCCUCCAGCUCGAGAGCCGAGAAGACACUGGAUGGACCCCGAGGAUAUGUUGCUGCCAAUGUUGGAGCAAUACACGGCUGCCUGAGCCAACAUUGUACAAGGGCCACAAGGACAAGGACGAGGGACACAAGGACAAGGACGAGGGACACAAGGACGAGGGACACAAGGACGAGGGACACAAAAGACGAUGUUGCAGUCUACAGGGCUAUGCAGAUGACUGGAGAUGAUGGCUGUUGAGUUGACCCGAUGACUUCCACCACAAUCUACGAUGCGUACUGAAGCAAGAAUGACUCUCAAAGACCCAGAGAACAACAGAUGUCAACACUUCGCCCCAUGAUAAGAUGCCUUCAUACUCAUCCAUCGACAAUUUGGGGAAGACAGCCUAAUUGACCUUCAUGGGGAUCUUCCUGGCAGAUGUUGUAUGAGGAAGGAUUCAAUGCAUAUGCACCAUGCUUGGAUGCGGGUCUGAGAGUCGGGUGGAUUCAAUGGAUGGAAUCAUUUCGCUCAAGGAUAUCGGCGGUGGACACUUACAUCGUGUGUCAUUCGAAUAGACUUUAAUGACAAUCGAAAUGAUGCUAUAGGGGACUCUGAUGAAUCUAAGGACAUAGAGCCCUUCUCGUUAUGUAAUGUGACGCCAUAUCCAGCAGCCACCAUGGACCCGGUUCAUCUCUUACAUAUGGAAGGAUGCCAUCUCAUAUGGAGAUGAGCCAUCCAAGAGAAGGGAGGAGAAUGCUCCCAUCGCCGUCAAGGAGGUUUGAUUUUUGUCACCGUAGGCCUUACCUUUUUAUUGCAAUAUCUGAUUGAAAGGUGAUUUGAUAAUAAUCCUGAUAUUUUGUUUUCUGAUUGCGAGAAGGCAAUUAUUUGCCUUCUUUUGGGCAAUGACAAACUCUUGCCAUGGCUCAAAUUCGUACACAUUUAAAGAAGAGUUUAGAAAAUGAGGGGAGGGUGUAAUGAGGUAAUUAGGGAAACCAGGGCAUGUCACAAGCCCAAAAAUUAAAAAAUCAAAAUGUGGAAGGGAUGUUCUGGCUAACAGGACAGCCAACAGGGUAAGUUGGUACCCAAACAAAACAUUUGCAAUAGCCUAAGGUACAUUGGGACCCUACCGGCUGCUUCAGAUUUGUUUCAAGCCAAAAAUAUCUUUCUGCUUAAAAAAUCACCGAAUUCAUCAGUUAUUGUAUUUGAUUAUGUCCAUCACAUGAGACAUGGGGUUCACAUGACAUUCGCUUUGCUCUGACCCCAGGCAAAGCGAAUGAACAUGUGUGUCUUGAUGGAACUGUAGGCCUUUUUACUGUUUCUUGAUCUCUUCAGUACCACAGAAUCCACCAGCAUUUAAACACCACCUGGGCCCAGGCGCCAAAGAUCCUUCAUAUAAUUGACCUGGCUCAGUUGCUCAGUGUCUUUACCUUCAUACUUGAGACAACUGACCAACAACACAAAUCGAGUGAAUUUUUAAUUCCUCAUCACUUUUAAAUCAAUACCCGUGAACAAAAAAAUCAUGGUAUGCAAAACAUCUUUUCACCAAUUUAACUGAUAAGCUUUGUCAAUAAAACUAUUGUUUUAUUGAAACUUAUCAGAAUAAGACUGGUUCUUGAUCCUACCUAUAGCGGUCUCACAGGAGAGAAUCUUAGUCUUUUCUUUGUUUUGAUUUAAGAAGACUUUCAUUGCAAGAGCAUAAUUUUCAUGUUCUGCAAGUUAUGAAAGAUAUCAUUUUGCCCCAUCAAGAACAUUUUUAUUGGACUUGGUACUGAAUGAUUUUAGAAAAGUGUAACGUCAAUGUGUAAGACGUUUUAUAUUGUCAUAUAGGUAUGUAAUUAUAUUUGUAAUGCAUGUAAAUCUUGUAAGUAAAAUAAAAGAGAUCUUAGACUCAACUUGCAAAAACCUGGCAGACCAACAUCCAGUCUUGCCAGGUCAAAGCUACCUCUUUUGUCAUGCAAAUACAUGUCACCUCUGCUCCUUUUGUCAUGCUAAUUGGCAGCCUCUGUCCAGUUCCUGGCCAUGAGAAAUGUGGUUCUUUUGUUAUUCAAAUUGGGCCCUAAACCUGUUUGGUCAUGGAUUAAUGAGAGCAGUGACCUAACCUAUUGUUCGCUGAAGAUGGCUCAACUGAAGUCAUACACAAUAGGUUUUAAUACAUGCAUGCAGAGGUUAAGUGCCAGCUCAUUGUUAGCUGGCUCAUUGUUGGAAUUGUUGAGUCAUCUAGUGUAAGAUCUCUGUUCAGUUGUGUCUUUUUUGGACAUUCUAAAGGAGGAGAACAUGUGUGAUAGAACAAUUAUCUCCAUGUCUCGUCCUUUAAUGGGCAUUGGAGUGGCACAGCGACUAUGAUCGAUGUAAUGUACAUGUAUGAAGUCAUUAUCGUCGUAAGCGCUGUGCCUGUCACCUGUGUGAUGGAGUUGACGACUCCCUCUGAUUGCGUAGGUUUUCUCCCGUUGAAACGGUUUUCCUCCUACACUGACUUUCCAAGUUGCCAUGUGAGGAUAAUUCUUGGAAUGUG